UACAGAGGUCCCAAGCGUUGUUCGGAUUCAUUGGGCGUAAAGGGUGCGUAGGUGUCGUCGUAAGUCGGGUGUGAAAUCUCGGGGCUUAACUCCGAAACUGCAUUCGAUACUGCGGUGCUUGAGGACUGGAGAGGAGACUGGAAUUUACGGUGUAGCAGUGAAAUGCGUAGAGAUCGUAAGGAAGACCAGUGGCGAAGGCGGGUCUCUGGAAAGUUCCUGACACUGAGGCACGAAGGCCAGGGGAGCAAACGGG
Molecule: ribosomal RNA, 253 nt
Filed under: uncultured bacterium
Lineage: Bacteria
Description: partial 16S ribosomal RNA
Rfam family: Bacterial small subunit ribosomal RNA
Source: RNAcentral